RNAcentral lists this transfer RNA (71 nucleotides) under Cordylochernes scorpioides. Its description in RNAcentral is "tRNA-Ser". It matches the Rfam family "tRNA". Rfam says of the family: Transfer RNA (tRNA) molecules are approximately 80 nucleotides in length. Their secondary structure includes four short double-helical elements and three loops (D, anti-codon, and T loops). The record is from RNAcentral. Lineage: Eukaryota; Metazoa; Arthropoda; Arachnida; Pseudoscorpiones; Chernetidae.
CCAUCGGUGGUUCAGUGGUAGAAUGCUCGCCUGCUUCGCGGGCGGCCCGGGUUCGAUUCCCGGCCGGUGCA